GUAGUCAGGUGGAGGAGAGCUGGAGGGAGAUACAGGUGGAGGUAGUCAGGUGCAGGAGAGCUGGAGGGAGAUACAGGUGGAGGUAGUCAGGAAGUGUGACUGUCCCUCUGCCUCCCCCUCUCUCUUUUUCUCCUCCUUUCUGUACAGAUGCUCCUGUACCUAGACCUGCUCCUUGUACCUCCCUCCCCCAUCUCUCUUUCUCUCACCUCCCUUCUUAAUUCCUCUUCCUGCCCCCUCUCCACUCUUAUAAAUAGGUGUUAUAAUACCUUGAUUCCAAAUGCUCAAAUCAAAAGAGGGGUGUCCGCCAGGGUUGUAAGGCCCACACUAUUUAAUAUCUUUAUCAAUCAACUAGCAGAGACCCUUGAACAAUCAACUGCAUCCGGCCUGCCUCUCCAUGACACAGAAAUCAAAUCCCUGUUUAACAUAGAUGAUCUGGUUCUGAUGUCACCCACUGUUACGGCCUGUGGGCCUUUUGUGUAGUGUUUGUCUGCCCUGUCGUGUUUGCCCCUCCCCUUUUUGUUCUCCAUGUCGUUGUCUGCAGGUGUGUCUGUCUGCGAUUGGCUGUAUUCGUUCCGGAUUCGGUCCAAUCCCGAUCCCGUCCGUCUUCCCCGCAGCCUUUAAGACCCCGGAACUGUCGUUGGAACGGGCAGUCAGCCUUCCGCAUUCUGUUUUGUGUUCUCAUGUAUGUUCUUUUGGUAGCAGGUCAUUGUGUUUGUUGCGUUUCGUGUUGUUCGUUUGGUCGUUCACUGGAGAGAGGGGACAGGUAAGCCGCCCAUGGGUAUACACUCCCAUCACUCAGCUUACUCCCUUGUUACUUCACUAGGCAAGGAGCGGUGCCGCACCAUGUAGUUUUGUAAGAGAGGCAUUGUUUGGGUUAGGUAUUUAGCACUUUUAUUGUUUUCAUUCCUUUGGCACCGUUCAUGGUCCCCUUGUUCUCCUGUUUUCUGUUUGUCAAAUAAACACACGGUUCUCUACA
Long non-coding RNA from Hypomesus transpacificus, 976 nucleotides. RefSeq lists it as uncharacterized. Lineage: Eukaryota; Metazoa; Chordata; Actinopteri; Osmeriformes; Osmeridae. The transcript has 2 exons. The record is from RefSeq and is a predicted model, not a curated record.